AUACGUAGGUGACAAGCGUUAUCCGGAUUUACUGGGCGUAAAGGGCGUGUAGGCGGUCUUGCAAGUCAGAAGUGAAAUUCCUGAGCUCAACUCGGGCGCUGCUUCUGAAACUGCAGGACUUGAGUGCUGGAGGGGAUAGCGGAAUUCCUAGUGGAGCGGUAAAAUGCGCAGAUAUUAGGAAGAACACCGGUGGCGAAGGCGGCUAUCUGGACAGUAACUGACGCUGAGGCGCGAAAGCGUGGGGAGCAAACAGGAUUAGAUACCCUGGUAUUCCACGCCGUAAACGAUGAAUACUAGGUGUAGGGGGUAUCGACUCCCUCUGUGCCGCAGUUAACACAAUAAGUAUUCCGCCUGGGGAGUACGGCCGCAAGGUUGAAACUCAAAUGAAUUGACGGGG
Molecule: ribosomal RNA, 397 nt
Filed under: uncultured bacterium
Lineage: Bacteria
Description: partial 16S ribosomal RNA
Rfam family: Bacterial small subunit ribosomal RNA
Source: RNAcentral